Molecule: non-coding RNA, 21 nt
Filed under: Caenorhabditis elegans
Lineage: Eukaryota; Metazoa; Nematoda; Chromadorea; Rhabditida; Rhabditidae
Source: RNAcentral
UAAGCACGAGCUAUAAAAAAA